This 468-nucleotide ribosomal RNA is filed under the name uncultured bacterium. RNAcentral's name for it is "partial 16S ribosomal RNA". It matches the Rfam family "Bacterial small subunit ribosomal RNA", at positions 28 to 507 of the family's 1533-position model. The record is from RNAcentral.
GACGAACGCUGGCGGCGUGCUUAACACAUGCAAGUCGAACGGAAAGGCCCUGCUUUUGUGGGGUGCUCGAGUGGCGAACGGGUGAGUAACACGUGAGUAACCUGCCCUUGACUUUGGGAUAACUUCAGGAAACUGGGGCUAAUACCGGAUAGGAGCUCCUGCUGCAUGGUGGGGGUUGGAAAGUUUCGGCGGUUGGGGAUGGACUCGCGGCUUAUCAGCUUGUUGGUGGGGUAGUGGCUUACCAAGGCUUUGACGGGUAGCCGGCCUGAGAGGGUGACCGGCCACAUUGGGACUGAGAUACGGCCCAGACUCCUACGGGAGGCAGCAGUGGGGAAUAUUGCACAAUGGGCGGAAGCCGGAUGCAGCAACGCCGCGUGCGGGAUGACGGCCUUCGGGUUGUAAACCGCUUUCGCCUGUGACGAAGCGUGAGUGACGGUAAUGUGUAAAGAAGCACCGGCUAACUACGUG